This 78-nucleotide small RNA is filed under the name Flavobacterium succinicans. Its description in RNAcentral is "Flavo-1 RNA". It matches the Rfam family "Flavo-1 RNA". The record is from Rfam by way of RNAcentral. Lineage: Bacteria; Pseudomonadati; Bacteroidota; Flavobacteriia; Flavobacteriales; Flavobacteriaceae.
UUUUAGCCCCGAUUGCAGUGGAAAUCCUUUGAUGCCGGGGUUCGGCAGCAAAGAUUGUAGCGGAAAGCGGGACGACUC